RNAcentral lists this small nuclear RNA (195 nucleotides) under Haemaphysalis longicornis (longhorned tick). RNAcentral's name for it is "U1 spliceosomal RNA". It matches the Rfam family "U1 spliceosomal RNA". From Rfam's summary of the family: U1 is a small nuclear RNA (snRNA) component of the spliceosome (involved in pre-mRNA splicing). Its 5' end forms complementary base pairs with the 5' splice junction, thus defining the 5' donor site of an intron. Lineage: Eukaryota; Metazoa; Arthropoda; Arachnida; Ixodida; Ixodidae. The record is from Rfam by way of RNAcentral.
AUACUUACCUGGUGUCGGAGUUUCGCUGGUCAAGAUGGGCGUUAUAAUAAAUUCUCUUUACCAAGAUGGGCGAGCUCCCAGGGCGAGGCGCGAGCAUUGCACUGCGCUCGUGUUGACCCCUGCCACUACCCCAAACAGGGCAGAUGGGGCAUGCAAUUUUUGGUAGUGGGGGGACUGCGUGCGCGCUUUCCCCCC